CGAGCCCAACCUCCCACCCGUGUUUACUGUACCUUAGUUGCUUCGGCGGGCCCGCCAUUCAUGGCCGCCGGGGGCUCUCAGCCCCGGGCCCGCGCCCGCCGGAGACACCACGAACUCUGUCUGAUCUAGUGAAGUCUGAGUUGAUUGUAUCGCAAUCAGUUAAAACUUUCAACAAUGGAUCUCUUGGUUCCGGCAUCGAUGAAGAACGCAGCGAAAUGCGAUAACUAGUGUGAAUUGCAGAAUUCCGUGAAUCAUCGAGUCUUUGAACGCACAUUGCGCCCCCUGGUAUUCCGGGGGGCAUGCCUGUCCGAGCGUCAUUGCUGCCCAUCAAGCACGGCUUGUGUGUUGGGUCGUCGUCCCCUCUCCGGGGGGGACGGGCCCCAAAGGCAGCGGCGGCACCGCGUCCGAUCCUCGAGCGUAUGGGGCUUUGUCACCCGCUCUGUAGGCCCGGCCGGCGCUUGCCGAACGCAAAUCAAUCUUUUCCAGGAC
Molecule: ribosomal RNA, 489 nt
Filed under: Aspergillus flavus
Lineage: Eukaryota; Fungi; Ascomycota; Eurotiomycetes; Eurotiales; Aspergillaceae
Description: eukaryotic LSU rRNA
Rfam family: 5.8S ribosomal RNA (bases 164-317)
Source: RNAcentral